GUGCACUCUUUCUUUGUUCUAAAUUGAGAGAUGAUGAUUACAAACAAUAAAAACAGAAUCGUCAUAGUUUUUGUAGAACAAAGAGCAAAUCACAAAUCUCUCCAGUGAAGAAAUUUGUUUCUAAUUCUAUCCUUUAAAAUAACUUGAAUAUAUGUAUGAUUGAUUGUGCUAUCCAGUACACCAUAGCCUGAUCUAAUUACUGACAAAUGCAACAUCCAAAUCUUAAAAUCAUUCAAAUUCAGAGUUCAGAGCCGAAAUUCAGCUGUUUGAAGCUCCACUGGUCCAGUCUGCCCAUUUCUAAUAGCCAUUAAAUCACUGCUGUCACCUCCCAAAUAGGCUUUCAUAAAUGCAACCACAACACCUCCAACAAACCUCCUCAUAGGCUCCCUGGACUUGCCAUUCAUGCACAAACAAUACGUAGCUUUCCCUCUAAUCCCUCUAGUAUCGUCAUCUAGCAUAUCUAGAUGACCAAAAUCCUUCACAACAAAAUAACAAGCUGGUUUUUGACAUUCCUUAUAAAAGUCCUCAUGAUUAACACCCUUGGGUGCACAAGGAGGGAACAGAGGGUUCCUUUUCACUUCACCUAAGCCAGAACCAAUUACCAUUGCUGCCAUAUCGAGAUCAAACGAAUGAGGAACAUAGGUGAGUACCGGUGGAGGUGUUUGUUUCCCUUUGUCCAUUCCAUCAACUGGGUCUACCCCUAUUAUUGCUGAAAAUCUUAGCGUGGAGGCUGCUUUCUGUAGAGCUAGUGCAAAAGCAGUCUUUCCUCCUCGACUAUGGCCUGCAAGUCCUAUCUUGCUUAGUUUUGGUUGGACAUGGAGUGGCAGCACUUCUUGCAGCCCUUUGGAUAACCAGUUUGUUAUUGCAGCUGUGGAUUUUAUCUCCUCACUUGAAUCUGCCCCAGCCACAGUGUACAACUGUCCAAGUCAAAUACUCAAACUUGUUAGCUCUGCAAAUAACUCUAGUGCCACUAAAUUAAAAUUCAUUAGUCUGGUGAUUUAUGCUCUGCCAUAAUAUUCUCUUAGCUGAUAAACACAUACAUGUUUUUGUUUUCCUGUGUGAAGGGGGACGUGGUAUGGGGCCAAUGGCCUAUGGGCUUUAAGAGCAAAAGAACUAGGAAAAUAAGGCAUGAAAAAGAAGCAUCUCCAGAACCAAUCACGUCAAGAGUCCACUUGAUAAUGAAAACCCCAUAGAGAGUCCAUAAUUUCCCUUUCAGAAAACUAGAAAAGUCCACAUUUCUUUUCACCUUUUGCACUAAGUUACUUCAGAUUAUCAACAUGUGGCAUCAUUGCUGCUCUACAAAUACAUGACUCUGAUAUUUGGUAAUUAUUAUCAUUUUUAUGAACUUCUUUCUGUACUUUAAUGGCAAUUAUUGAAUACUAAAAUGAAAAUUAAUAAACGGAGAAAAACCGAUCAAAUAAUUACUUUACUUGAAGAAAAGACAUACAAUUAGAAGCAAAAAUCUGCAUAUAAAGGGGGGAAAAGAAUUCAGAGAAGGAUACCUGAGGAGCAAUAACAAUGAAGCCAUGAGAAGCAACAUGUUGGAUGAGGAGAGAAUAGAAAGAGUUAUAGAGAAGGUAACCAUGGAGGAACAUUAGAAUUGGGAAUUCUCCUGCUUCACAUGGCAUGGCAAUCAAGAGUGGCUUUGGAGGUGGAACAGCAAGUGAAGAUUUUGUGGAACAUGUUUCUGAUUCUACUUUUUGAAGCACUGUUGUGUAUUUCCCAAUCUCAAAAACACCUGUUGCAGUAGCAGUACCAGAAGAGCAAGACAUGGCUGAUGGAACUAGUUUAGUAGCUUAUCCUUUCCCCU
Molecule: unclassified non-coding RNA, 1810 nt
Filed under: Hevea brasiliensis (rubber tree)
Lineage: Eukaryota; Viridiplantae; Streptophyta; Magnoliopsida; Malpighiales; Euphorbiaceae
Source: RNAcentral